RNAcentral lists this ribosomal RNA (769 nucleotides) under Bacillus pumilus. Its description in RNAcentral is "bacterial SSU rRNA". It matches the Rfam family "Bacterial small subunit ribosomal RNA", at positions 62 to 813 of the family's 1533-position model. The record is from RNAcentral. Lineage: Bacteria; Bacillati; Bacillota; Bacilli; Caryophanales; Bacillaceae.
UCGAGCGGACAGAAGGGAGCUUGCUCCCGGAUGUUAGCGGCGGACGGGUGAGUAACACGUGGGUAACCUGCCUGUAAGACUGGGAUAACUCCGGGAAACCGGAGCUAAUACCGGAUAGUUCCUUGAACCGCAUGGUUCAAGGAUGAAAGACGGUUUCGGCUGUCACUUACAGAUGGACCCGCGGCGCAUUAGCUAGUUGGUGAGGUAACGGCUCACCAAGGCGACGAUGCGUAGCCGACCUGAGAGGGUGAUCGGCCACACUGGGACUGAGACACGGCCCAGACUCCUACGGGAGGCAGCAGUAGGGAAUCUUCCGCAAUGGACGAAAGUCUGACGGAGCAACGCCGCGUGAGUGAUGAAGGUUUUCGGAUCGUAAAGCUCUGUUGUUAGGGAAGAACAAGUGCAAGAGUAACUGCUUGCACCUUGACGGUACCUAACCAGAAAGCCACGGCUAACUACGUGCCAGCAGCCGCGGUAAUACGUAGGUGGCAAGCGUUGUCCGGAAUUAUUGGGCGUAAAGGGCUCGCAGGCGGUUUCUUAAGUCUGAUGUGAAAGCCCCCGGCUCAACCGGGGAGGGUCAUUGGAAACUGGGAAACUUGAGUGCAGAAGAGGAGAGUGGAAUUCCACGUGUAGCGGUGAAAUGCGUAGAGAUGUGGAGGAACACCAGUGGCGAAGGCGACUCUCUGGUCUGUAACUGACGCUGAGGAGCGAAAGCGUGGGGGAGCGAACAGGAUUAGAUACCCUGGUAGUCCACGCCGUAAACGAUGAG